RNAcentral lists this long non-coding RNA (1537 nucleotides) under Zonotrichia albicollis (white-throated sparrow). RNAcentral describes it as "lncRNA (ENSZALG00000005033.1)". Lineage: Eukaryota; Metazoa; Chordata; Aves; Passeriformes; Passerellidae. The record is from RNAcentral.
AUCCCUUCAAAGCUCUCAGGCAGUUUUACUUGAGCACAGGGAAGUUUGAGUGUUUAGAUCAGAAAGCCCAAGCUUGCUCUCUGCUGUCACUGAGGAGCUUUGAAUGGCUGCAUUGUGAGGCACUGACCAUAAUGUCCUAGCUGGCCAUUGAUCUUUUCAGACACAUUCUUCUAACUGGGGCAUCCUCGUGGCACGAUGAGCAGAAUAAUAAUUGAGGAAGAAAGCAUACUAAAUCAUCCAAAGGCAGCUCCCCUGGUCUCCACGAUGGUUGGAGCAGGGCAGAGGUUUUCUGAGAGGAGCAGCAGCCCCAGGAAGAUAAUAACUGUCAGUCACCAGCAAUCUGCCCUGCAUUUACAGACACAAACAGGAUGCCAGUUUGGGGAGAAGAUGAUAUUUGUACAAAUACCUGGAACAGACACUGACAGUACCAAAAGAGCAUCUGUCUGCUCCUCUUCCUCUGGAAGCUGCAGGCUGCACUGGAGAAGUCCAAGGGUGAGAGAAGCUGCAAAUGGAGAAGGGAAAGGACAUCUGAGAGUCUUCACUAAAUAAUCGGAAGACUGAUGGAUUUCAGACAAAGACAGCAGUUAUAUAAUGCAUUCCUCCUCUGUGAGUAAUCAUAUGCAAAGAUUGACAUGUUUGUGAGUGUUCCCAAAACUGAUCCUGGGCUUACUGUGGCCGUUCCUGCAUGAAAAAAACAUCAGUCAGAGGGAAAGAGGAAAAAGAAAGAGAGAGAGGGGGAAAAAAAAAGGAAAGAAGUGUGAUUGUGCUCCUAGGACAACAUCCUGAAUUUUUCCCUGGUGGACCCUUGCCAUUACCAUGGCAAAAUGCCUGGAAACUGCCGUUCUUUUCCACAAAAAAUGUUUUGAAGGAAGAACAAAAGAAGUUUGAGCUUUUGGCAGAUCGUUGAAGAUCACUGUGUUCAGAUCCUGAGCUGGUGUAAAUCAAGAUAACUGCAGUAUUGCUACAGUAGUUAAAAACUGACUGACUCUCCCAUCCAUCAUAGCUUGCUGCUAUGGGGGAAUAUUUCUUUACAGCUUAAAUAGAGGAAGGAAUUGCUUUUACUGCAUGGUGCAUGUUUUCCUGUUAAGAAUAUAUUUCUUAUCCUUAAUUGCUUAAGCUCCCUUGUGCAUGUAGGGUGGUGGUGCCUUCUGUCAUGGAGGCAUUUUCUGUGUGUGACACCUUGCUUUAUUUCUUUGGUUUGCUAGUUGAAUGACAUGUUAAUCUGCUGUGAAGGUGCAUAAUAGGAUCAAUGGGAAUCAGGGCGUAUGUUUUAAAUUAAAAAGAGCUCCUUUCUUUGUCUGAUUCAUGUUUCUGUAUUAUAUCACAGCAUGUGUGGCCAAAGAGUGGUCCCACUAGGCCAGGAUAAGCUGAUGCUGGUCAAUAAUUAAAUAAUAAUCUGUAAAACGGAAAGGCUUUAUGUUUCAGAGUGAAAGGGUGUUCUUGCAGCUAAUGGUGGUCAACAGGUAAGCACCCUGGGACCUCCAUACAUGCAAAAAAAUCACAAUCAUUCAGAUACAAGGGCUUGGAAGUCCAUUUU